UGCCUCAGUAACGGCGAGUGAAGCGGCAACAGCUCAAAUUUGAAAUCUGGCCCUCUCAGGGUCCGAGUUGUAAUUUGGAGAAGAUGCUUCGGGUGUGGCCCCGGUCUAAGUUCCUUGGAACAGGACGUCACAGAGGGUGAGAAUCCCGUACGUGACCGGUGGCCUCCCCCAUGUGAAGCUCUUUCGACGAGUCGAGUUGUUUGGGAAUGCAGCUCAAAAUGGGUGGUAAAUUUCAUCUAAAGCUAAAUAUUGGCCAGAGACCGAUAGCGCACAAGUAGAGUGAUCGAAAGAUGAAAAGCACUUUGGAAAGAGAGUUAAACAGUACGUGAAAUUGUUGAAAGGGAAGCGCUUGCAACCAGACUUGCGCGCGGCCGAUCAUCUGGUGUUCUCACCGGUGCACUCGGUCGCGCUCAGGCCAGCAUCGGUUUAGGUGGUUGGAUAAAGGCCUCGGGAAUGUGGCUCUCUUCGGGGAGUGUUAUAGCCCGAGGUGCAAUGCAGCCCACCUGGACCGAGGACCGCGCUUCGGCUAGGAUGCUGGCGUAAUGGUUGUAAGCGACCCGUCUUGAAACACGGACCAAGGAGUCUAACAUCUAUGCGAGUGUAUGGGUGUCAAACCCAUACGCGUAAUGAAAGUGAACGGAGGUG
RNAcentral lists this ribosomal RNA (645 nucleotides) under Oidiodendron sp. RNAcentral describes it as "partial large subunit ribosomal RNA". It matches the Rfam family "Eukaryotic large subunit ribosomal RNA", at positions 76 to 737 of the family's 3401-position model. The record is from RNAcentral. Lineage: Eukaryota; Fungi; Ascomycota; Leotiomycetes; Myxotrichaceae.